This 3098-nucleotide long non-coding RNA is filed under the name Equus caballus (horse). Its description in RNAcentral is "lncRNA (ENSECAG00000034973.3)". The record is from RNAcentral. Lineage: Eukaryota; Metazoa; Chordata; Mammalia; Perissodactyla; Equidae.
AGGCCUCUUCACCUGCAGGCGCACAGAAAUGGGCUCUUCUUCCUGAUCUCCCAAUGCGUCACGGGAACCUUGGAGGGACACUGCCUCCCUCUGGCCCUGGGUUUGCUCUUCUGAGGAAGAAGAAUAUCUGGAGCUCCUCGCUGCUUCCGUGGCUGCUUUUCCCACUCCUUCGAGGGCUAUGGCUCCAGUCGUGGUCAAGCUACUGACCUGGAUGCUCUGUGUCGUCAUUUGCAAACAUACCUACAUCAGGGCGACAGCAAACGUUACAGGUGGGACAGAGGAGGGCCGAGUGAGACCAGCCUGAGGUCCUGCCUUGCCCACACAAGUGGCUACUUCUUCCAUGCUGGGGAGGAUGAGCUCCCUGCCCACGGGGCUGCUUCCAGACUCUGCCGGAGAACGGGGACACAGGACCUGGCCUCCAUGCGGUCUUCCCAUUUCUCAAGUUCACACAGAGCACAUCUCCAACCGUGCAGCAGAGGCCAGUGUGUUCUGUUCCCGCCCACAGGCCGGCUCUGUUUUUGCAGGCUGUGCAAGAGGGGCCGAGGAAAUGAUAAGUGAAAAUCCAUCACAGCUUCUGGACUCAACUCAAAGGACACACGAGGCUGCUGGAACACCAGCAGGACUCAGCCCGACUCGGCGAUGUUGUCAGGAGAAUGAUUCCGUUUCAUGCUGAAGCGGCCUGGCAGGGCAGGUCUUUGGAGGAUAGCUUGCAAAGAGCCUAAGAACCAUCUGAAAGGAGACUCUGUGCCUUGUGGACUUGGGGUAUGGAGGGAGUUGGCCCGAAGCUGCUAGGGUCAGACAUGGGGAACACCUGCCUGAGCUCAAGCCAGCAGUAACGAGACCAAGUCGUGACAGCAUCCUCUUCUCAUCUGGGUCCAGACAUGCCUGCAGCUGGUUACUCUGGGAUUUUUCAGUUACAUAAACCAACAAAGACUGUUUGUUGUUAAGCCAUCUUGAGUUAAGUUUGCCACUUUCGACUAGAGGACGCUUGAGACAUAACCUACCGUGUUAAUCUCCAUCGCAAGUCAAGCUUGGCAAGCAGAACUGUCCUCACCUGGUGUUCAUAAAAAAGGUGGUCCUGGGGCGCCACGUGUUUACUCAUUCAAAUACUAGGUGUGAUAUUGAAUACUAUGGGCAAGUGCUACUUAAGCACCCAGGGAUCAAAUCAGACUGUGACCCCUGCCCUCAAGGAGCUCCCAUCUUGGGGACCAAGGCCGGAUCAAGGAAGGACUGUCCGAGCAGGCUCUCGACACAGCCCCUGCACCAGAGCUCUCCACAGCGGGCCACAGCCGGCUCCCUGGGCAACUGGCCGUCUCGUCUCUGCGUCCAUCUGUGUGUGCCGUCUGGGUCGGCCCUGCCUCUCCUGGAUUGUCCUCGGCCAGGCCAGGGCUUGGCCACCACUAAAGAAGGCAUUUCAUAGUAACACUGCAAAAUCAAGCUGGGAGCAGCCUCAUGGCCACUUGGUUGAGCUUGUCCCAGGCUGGAAGGACUCAAAUCCUGUAACAUGGUGUCAUGGAAGGUGUCCUCUGGAAUCUCAGCUCUGGGCAGUGCUUAGCUAGGCUACAUCCAAAGUAACACCCCAGAGAAUAUGCCCUAAACUCUCAGUUGUCACUCUGAAGACCCCUAUACUAACCCCUCACCCACCCACUGCUUCAACCCACUGUGGUUACUGCCCACUUCUCUGUGCCACGCAGCCUCCUGGGGGUGGGCUGUGGCACACAGGUGCUCCCACAUGCUGAUGUGGCAGCUAGAAUAGGGCAGGUGUGGAGGGAGCCUAGCUGGAAGAGCAUCUGUGCUGACACGAGUGGGUCCUGCCUAGGCCAGCACCGGGGCCUGUCCCCAGGUCCCCACCUGUGUGCGGAGCACCAAUCAACGCUGCUCUGCCCCAGGCCACCUUUGGGCUUGGCUUAAUCAUGGCUGCCCCGGCUCCAUUCUGACCCCCAUGCUUACCCCAAGAGUAGUUCCUGUGUGCUUAGCGAGCACUUCUAGCCUCGAGAAGCCUUGUUUCUGGGAGGAUCCUUUCAGGAGAGUGGAGGGGAACAGGGGAGAGCAGUGGCUGGGGAAGGAGGCAGCAGGCGGCACCCUGGAGUGCAUUUUCCCUGCUGUUUGCUCUGCUGCGGGAAGGCUCAGGAGGAAUAGUAAGUCAAAGCGAGAGCUAGAGGAGUCCUGCGCUGACAGCUGCAGAGACUGAAGGUGGUAUGACUGUGGCAGGCUGCAUCAAGGCCACGCUGCCCUGAGGCCAGACGGGCAUGGAACGGUGCCUGGACUCUGGCCUGGAGUCUGGGAGUGAGGAGGAGGAUGCUGUUGCCGGGAAGAGCACGAGGGGCCUGAGUGGGGACCAGUGAGAGGUUGUGAGCUCCUUUGUCGUUGUGUUUUUUCCAAUAGAAUUCUACAUUUGUAUUUUUUAAAAAUGGAGGCAUCACAUAACAAAGUGUGUAAAGCGUGCUGAUAUGAAGCCAAUCUUUACCGUGUGUCUUUGCACACGGAUAGAGAAGCUUAUCAGCACUCUGUGGCUCCUGCAUUAGCCAGGUGUUUUAUCUUCUGUAUUUGUGAUGCUUUGACGUCUUCUGAGGUUCUGCUGGCUGGGGAGAGACUGCCCCUGCAAGUGUGCCUUUCAUAUGCAAACCAGCGAUCCAGAGCCCACCCCCUCACCGCCUCCUGCGUGGGACUCUCACACAGCAAGCCGGGCGUCCUCCAGCCCUGCAUCACUCCAGGGCUGGGGACCAGACAACUGGAGACCACCUUGUCGCCAGAGCUUUCCGAAAUUAUUGAAAUUAGCCGAUCCUAAACUUGCUCAAACUUGUCUCCCCGCCUCCUCUGUUCCCACCCUUGGAAACAGCAGUAUGGGCCCUGGCCACGUGUCCUUCUGCCUCCUGACUGACGCUGGUGCUUCCCCAUGUGGCCCUGCAUCAGGAAUUCUAAGUAGUAAACUUUUCUCUCAAAGUCUCUGUGCCUGUCACCUUACCAUAUCUGAUCAAAACAAAAUCCCAUUUCAAGAAGGCCUGUCUGUCCCUUGCUGGUCUACACACUCCUCCAUCCCAGGAGGUAGCCGUUGUUGUGAUUUCUAUCAUAACAGAGUGUCGCCUUGUUCUUUAAAU